This 225-nucleotide ribosomal RNA is filed under the name uncultured bacterium. RNAcentral describes it as "partial 16S ribosomal RNA". It matches the Rfam family "Bacterial small subunit ribosomal RNA", at positions 103 to 334 of the family's 1533-position model. The record is from RNAcentral.
CGGGUAGAGUAACACGUGGGCAUCUACCCUGAAGUGGGGAAUAACGGACCGAAAGGUUCGCUAAUACCGCAUAGGAUCGCGAGAUCAAAGGUUGUCGCAAGACGAUCGCUUUAGGAGGAGCCUGCGGCCGAUCAGGUAGUUGGUGAGGUAACGGCUCACCAAGCCGACGACCGGUAGCUGAUCUGAGAGGAUGACCAGCCACACUGGCACUGAGACACGGGCCCG